Molecule: transfer RNA, 73 nt
Filed under: Salmonella enterica subsp. enterica
Lineage: Bacteria; Pseudomonadati; Pseudomonadota; Gammaproteobacteria; Enterobacterales; Enterobacteriaceae
Description: tRNA-Lys
Rfam family: tRNA
About the family: Transfer RNA (tRNA) molecules are approximately 80 nucleotides in length. Their secondary structure includes four short double-helical elements and three loops (D, anti-codon, and T loops).
Source: RNAcentral
GGGUCGUUAGCUCAGUUGCAGAGCAGUUGAUCUCUUUAAUCACUGGUCGCAGGUUCGAAUCCCGCACGACUCC